RNAcentral lists this ribosomal RNA (500 nucleotides) under uncultured Glomeromycotina. RNAcentral's name for it is "partial small subunit ribosomal RNA". It matches the Rfam family "Eukaryotic small subunit ribosomal RNA", at positions 591 to 1092 of the family's 1831-position model. Lineage: Eukaryota; Fungi; Glomeromycota. The record is from RNAcentral.
CCAAUAGCGUAUAUUAAAGUUGUUGCAGUUAAAAAGCUCGUAGUUGAAUUUCGGGAUCAAUACGUCGGUCGUGCCUCUGGUAUGUACUGGUGUUAUUGAUUUCUCCCUUCUGAUGAAUCAUGAUGUCAUUAAUUUGGUGUUGUGUGGAGUCAGGACUGUUACUUUGAAAAAAUUCGAGUGUUUAAAGCAGGCUCACGCCUGAAUACAUUAGCAUGGAAUAAUGAAAUAGGACGUUCGAUCCUAUUUUGUUGGUUUCUAGGAUCAACGUAAUGAUUAAUAGGGAUAGUUGGGGGCAUUAGUAUUCAAUUGUCAGAGGUGAAAUUCUUGGAUUUAUUGAAGACUAACUACUGCGAAAGCAUUUGCCAAGGAUGUUUUCAUUAAUCAAGAACGAAAGUUAGGGGAUCGAAGACGAUCAGAUACCGUCGUAGUCUUAACCAUAAACUAUGCCGACUAGGGAUCGGAUGAUGUUAAUUUUUUAAUGACUCAUUCGGCGCCUUACG